RNAcentral lists this ribosomal RNA (905 nucleotides) under uncultured bacterium. RNAcentral describes it as "bacterial SSU rRNA". It matches the Rfam family "Bacterial small subunit ribosomal RNA", at positions 9 to 918 of the family's 1533-position model. The record is from RNAcentral.
GAGUUUGAUCAUGGCUCAGGAUGAACGCUAGCGGGAGGCUUAACACAUGCAAGCCGAGGGGUAUAGUUAGCUUGCUAACUAGAGACCGGCGCACGGGUGCGUAACGCGUAUGCAACUUGCCCUACUGAAAAGGAUAGCCCUUCGAAAGGAGGAUUAAUACUUUAUAAUAGAAAUCAUGGCAUCAUGAAUUUUUGAAAGAUUUAUCGCAGUAGGAUAGGCAUGCGUAAGAUUAGUUAGUUGGUGAGGUAACGGCUCACCAAGACGAUGAUCUUUAGGGGGCCUGAGAGGGUGAACCCCCACACUGGUACUGAGACACGGACCAGACUCCUACGGGAGGCAGCAGUGAGGAAUAUUGGACAAUGGGUGGAAGCCUGAUCCAGCCAUCCCGCGUGUAGGAUGACGGCCUUAUGGGUUGUAAACUACUUUUAUCUGGGGAUAAACCUACUCACGUGUGAGUAGCUGAAGGUACCAGAAGAAUAAGCACCGGCUAACUCCGUGCCAGCAGCCGCGGUAAUACGGAGGGUGCAAGCGUUAUCCGGAUUUAUUGGGUUUAAAGGGUCCGUAGGCGGAUUAAUCAGUCAGUGGUGAAAUCUCAUAGCUUAACUAUGAAACUGCCAUUGAUACUGUUAGUCUUGAGUGAUGUUGAAGUUGCUGGAAUGUGUAGUGUAGCGGUGAAAUGCUUAGAUAUUACGCAGAACACCAAUUGCGAAGGCAGGUGACUAAACAUCAACUGACGCUGAUGGACGAAAGCGUGGGGAGCGAACAGGAUUAGAUACCCUGGUAGUCCACGCCGUAACGAUGGAUACUUGCUGUUGGGUUUUCGGAUUCAGUGGCUAAGCGAAAGUUAUAAGUAUCCCACCUGGGGAGUACGUUCGCAAGAAUGAAACUCAAAGGAAUUGACGGGG